This is a long non-coding RNA of Carassius auratus (goldfish), 824 nucleotides long. RefSeq lists it as uncharacterized. The record is from RefSeq and is a predicted model, not a curated record. The transcript has 3 exons. NCBI's taxonomy places the organism in Eukaryota, Metazoa, Chordata, Actinopteri, Cypriniformes, Cyprinidae.
UGCAGAACAGAACGUAUGAGACACAGUGUGCUAGCACUUUCAAUACAAGCUGAUGAAACAAAAUGAAAGAUAAUUGCAUAGAGAGGUUAAACAGCAGCCAGUCUGUAAUCUAGAUGAUGGAAGCUUUUGAAAGCACAAGGACUAUGAUUAACAUCCCUAACAAUCAAAUCUAUUGUGCUUUCAGCAUGCACAGUAUAAUACCAGCGUAAUGAGUUGAAGUUUCUGACCGCCGUUGUUCAUUAAUUAGGAUGUCUUUUGUUAUUUAUGUAUUCGUUUCAGUUAUUAUUCAUUUAGCCUUUUCUCCCCAAGUACUUAAAGAUAGUUGGUAACCUUAUACUGGGAGACUUUUUGACAGAAAUGAAAAUACAGUAAUAUACAGGUAUACUGCUUAUAACCAUAAUCUUAUUUUGAAUUAAAUUGUCAAGGUUAAUUGUUGAUACUCCUUGUUUACUCCACAUUUAAAUGUCUCUUGAGCAGCAAAUCAGCAUAUUAGAAUGAUUUCUGAAGAUCAUGUGACACCGAAGACUGGAGUAAUGAGAAAAUGGAAAUCGAGGGGUUAUGACGUUAUUGGCAGGCAACACAAUGACACUCUGGACACGGCUGUAUUUCAGAUCAUCACCAGCAGGGAGCGUCUAUCACCACUUUACGGAAUUACUGUGGCUUCCUACAACAUUCCUCAAUCACAAGCUGCUGUGCCAUGGCUGCUUACCUCUCCACACAAUCAGAGAGACGUGAACAGUGGUUUGAAGCUGGUGCAUCGUGUCCUCCGACAGCAUACAAGAAACUGUUAUAUGUGGCCACGCCCACUCCUCCCCUCCUCUUUG